CAGUCCAUGUACAGUCCUGUCCCGUCCUGCCCGUUUAGUUAAUGUUCCCUUAUGUAUUGUGUACAUGUUCUGGGUUUAGCUUCCUCUCCUUCUCUGGUUCUGGGUUCUACUAGUUCUGUCUUGGUUUCAUGUUUGGUGUCUUUUCUAGUCUUUUCUUGAUUCUGUACUGGAUACAUACCUGUUGCAGAGCCUCCUUAUUCAGCUCCUGGGAGGUCUGCUUAAAUACCUGCCCCUAGUUCUUGGGAUCCGUUUUAGCUGCAUCAGGGUUCUGGUUGUGGCUGCACAAACUCUGAUGCUCAACACCAGGGGGCGUGCGGUUACCCUGCACCAGAUCCUGCCAAUCCCCCUCCACACUGUGACUCCUACUUUGAACAUCAGGCAUAUUGGGUCCCGGUCCACGCACCGCCGCCCGCACAGUGUCUGGGUCCCGG
Non-coding RNA from Pelobates cultripes (western spadefoot toad), 431 nucleotides. The record is from the annotation of a GenBank genome assembly. NCBI's taxonomy places the organism in Eukaryota, Metazoa, Chordata, Amphibia, Anura, Pelobatidae.